RNAcentral lists this long non-coding RNA (482 nucleotides) under Gallus gallus (chicken). Its description in RNAcentral is "long non-coding RNA NONGGAT004595". Lineage: Eukaryota; Metazoa; Chordata; Aves; Galliformes; Phasianidae. The record is from RNAcentral.
UUGGCAACAGACAAUUGGCAUUUUCAAAACAUGUUAAAUUCUUCCCUUCUGCUGCAGUGCAUCUGGACACAGAACAUACUGGCAGCUUCGCUCAACAUUAUCAUUUUAUUAGAAACUCUUGAAGGAGUAUAUUUGUCUUAUGCCUUCAGAUUUUUGUUAUUUCUAUCUGGUAGCAAGAACCAACAGCGCUCAAGGUACUUCCCAAAGAAAAUAAAGGCACAGCCUCUGCCCUGCAGAACCAUCAAUCCCCUUAAGAUCCUUUGCAGUAUUGUGAAAUAGGAGAACCAGAAAUCUAACACCAACGUUGUGAAAAUGUGAAGGUAGUUUUCUGGUCGUGACAGAUGAGACAUGAGAUCUUCAGCUUCCAGGCUUUCAAGUUUUUCUUCAAGAGAUUCAUUAUGGAAUCGGUAAGAAAGAAGAAAGACCAACGUCUAAAUAACAGGUUUAAAGUAUAAAAAGCAGGAAAAAAAAAUGUGAAAAGC